RNAcentral lists this ribosomal RNA (180 nucleotides) under uncultured Glomeromycotina. RNAcentral describes it as "partial small subunit ribosomal RNA". The stretch from base 38 to 180 matches the Rfam family "Eukaryotic small subunit ribosomal RNA", at positions 684 to 828 of the family's 1831-position model. The record is from RNAcentral. Lineage: Eukaryota; Fungi; Glomeromycota.
GGAUUAGUGCGCCGGUCGUGCCUUCGGUAUGUACUGGUGUUACUGGUUCCUACCUUCUGACGAACCGUCAUGUCAUUAAUUUGGUGUGGCGGGGAAUCAGGACUGUUACUUUGAAAAAAUUAGAGUGCUCAAAGCAGGCAUCUUGCUUGAAUAUAUUAGCAUGGAAUAAUGGAAUAGGAC